CCUACGGGAGGCAGCAGUGGGGAAUUUUGGACAAUGGGCGCAAGCCUGAUCCAGCCAUGCCGCGUGCGGGAAGAAGGCCUUCGGGUUGUAAACCGCUUUUGUCAGGGAAGAAAAGGUUCUGGUUAAUACCUGGGACUCAUGACGGUACCUGAAGAAUAAGCACCGGCUAACUACGUGCCAGCAGCCGCGGUAAUACGUAGGGUGCAAGCGUUAAUCGGAAUUACUGGGCGUAAAGCGUGCGCAGGCGGUUAUGCAAGACAGAGGUGAAAUCCCCGGGCUCAACCUGGGAACUGCCUUUGUGACUGCAUAGCUAGAGUGCGGCAGAGGGGGAUGGAAUUCCGCGUGUAGCAGUGAAAUGCGUAGAUAUGCGGAGGAACACCGAUGGCGAAGGCAAUCCCCUGGGCCUGCACUGACGCUCAUGCACGAAAGCGUGGGGAGCAAACAGGAUUAGAUACCCUGGUAGUCCACGCCCUAAACGAUGUCAACUGGUUGUUGGGAGGGUUUCUUCUCAGUAACGUAGCUAACGCGUGAAGUUGACCGCCUGGGGGAGGUACGGCCGCGAGUAGAACGUACAAAGAGAAGUUAGACGGCGUGAGACGUAGACCGAACGGACGACGACGAGGGGAGGUUAGGG
RNAcentral lists this ribosomal RNA (634 nucleotides) under uncultured bacterium. RNAcentral's name for it is "bacterial SSU rRNA". The stretch from base 1 to 542 matches the Rfam family "Bacterial small subunit ribosomal RNA", at positions 338 to 873 of the family's 1533-position model. The record is from RNAcentral.